CCUUCGUUUUGUUCCUUCUUUCUUUUUUUUUUUAGAGCUUUUGUUCCUUCUUCCUGAGAACUCUCUUUUCUCACUUACUACGUGUUACGUGUAUUAUUCUGGCUCCCACCCACACAAUCUCAGCCGCUCGGUCCAAUAGCCCAAUGGAAGCCCAUUGAUUCUUCCUCUCUAAAAAUCAAUCAUAUCUCCAAAACAAAAUAUUCUCAAAAAAAAAAUCUCCAAAACUAAAAAUCCAAACAAAAAGAGGAAAGAAAAGAAAGGCAC
RNAcentral lists this long non-coding RNA (264 nucleotides) under Brachypodium distachyon (stiff brome). RNAcentral describes it as "long non-coding RNA (BDIS_LNC002497)". Lineage: Eukaryota; Viridiplantae; Streptophyta; Magnoliopsida; Poales; Poaceae. The record is from RNAcentral.